Molecule: ribosomal RNA, 465 nt
Filed under: uncultured bacterium
Lineage: Bacteria
Description: partial 16S ribosomal RNA
Rfam family: Bacterial small subunit ribosomal RNA
Source: RNAcentral
GACGAACGCUGGCGGCGUGCUUAACACAUGCAAGUCGAACGGUAAGGCCCCUUCGGGGGUACACGAGUGGCGAACGGGUGAGUAACACGUGAGCAACCUGCCCUUGACUCUGGGAUAACAGUUGGAAACAGCUGCUAAUACUGGAUAUUCAUCGUCUCCUUCCUGGGGGGUGGUGGAAAGCUCCGGCGGUCAGGGAUGGGCUCGCGGCCUAUCAGCUUGUUGGUGAGGUAAUGGCUCACCAAGGCUUCGACGGGUAGCCGGCCUGAGAGGGCGACCGGCCACACUGGGACUGAGAUACGGCCCAGACUCCUACGGGAGGCAGCAGUGGGGAAUAUUGCACAAUGGGCGCAAGCCUGAUGCAGCAACGCCGCGUGCGGGAUGACGGCCUUCGGGUUGUAAACCGCUUUCAGUAGGGACGAAGGGUGACUGACGGUACCUACAGAAGAAGGACCGGCUAACUACGUG